GACGAACGCUGGCGGCGUGCUUAACACAUGCAAGUCGAACGGAAAGGCCCUGCUUUUGUGGGGUGCUCGAGUGCGAACGGGGGAGUAACACGUGAGUAACCUGCCCCUGACCUUGGGAUAACUUCAGGAAACUGGGGCUAAUACCGGAUAGGAGCUCCUGCUGCAUGGGGGGGGUUGGAAAGUUUCGGCGGUUGGGGAUGGACUCGCGGCUUAUCAGCUUGUUGGUGGGGUAGUGGCUUACCAAGGCUUUGACGGGUAGCCGGCCUGAGAGGGUGACCGGCCACAUUGGGACUGAGAUACGGCCCAGACUCCUACGGGAGGCAGCAGUGGGGAAUAUUGCACAAUGGGCGGAAGCCUGAUGCAGCAACGCCGCGUGCGGGAUGACGGCCUUCGGGUUGUAAACCGCUUUCGCCUGUGACGAAGCGUGAGUGACGGUAAUGGGUAAAGAAGCACCGGCUAACUACGUG
Molecule: ribosomal RNA, 467 nt
Filed under: uncultured bacterium
Lineage: Bacteria
Description: partial 16S ribosomal RNA
Rfam family: Bacterial small subunit ribosomal RNA
Source: RNAcentral